UGCAGACGUGGAAAUGUUGGCAUGUGGAUAGACCCUGUACCAAAAACCCAGCAGAAGAUUCAGAGUCCCUGAGAUGCUUCCUCAUCUUCUUCGCCAAGCACCUCUUGUCACUGAUCUUGGAAGUUAGAGGUGGGAAAAGGCAGCCCCAGCCCUGAGAUUGCUCCAGCCUGUUCUUCACCUGCAGUGCCAGGUGUCCUGGGGAAGUGUCGCUACGUUUACUAUGGGAAAAACUCAGAGGGCAACAGGUUUAUCCGAGAUGACCAGCUCUGAAGCCAACUUCUGUAUACCUUCACCCAUUUCAUGAAAAUAAAAUCAAAAGGGAAAUCAAAAAUAA
This 334-nucleotide small RNA is filed under the name Pan troglodytes (chimpanzee). RNAcentral's name for it is "processed transcript". Lineage: Eukaryota; Metazoa; Chordata; Mammalia; Primates; Hominidae. The record is from RNAcentral.